AUGGCGAUGACCGUGGAAGGGCUCGCUGGACUUGCGUGUAUGUUCUCCACGAGCGUUCUUUUGCAAAUCCUGGCAUGUGCUUUGUACAACAACUGGUGGCCUAUGUUAGCAGCACUCAUGUAUAUCAUUGUGCCAAUGCCAUGCCUGUUCUUUGGCGACGGAUCCACACGGUUCUUGAGUAGCGGAGAGGGUGGAGCCUGGAUGAAAGCCGCAAAGUUCUUGACCGGCAUGUCUGCCAUGGGAAGCCUCGCCAUCCCGGCGAUCCUGAGGCACGCUGGCCUGAUCGAGACGGGGGCCAUGUUCAUCGAGUUCACCUCCUUCUUCAUCCUGGUGUGCACGGUUCUGUGCUUCCACAGGGCUACCCUGGACGAGGAGUGGUAA
Molecule: ribosomal RNA, 381 nt
Filed under: Triticum aestivum (bread wheat)
Lineage: Eukaryota; Viridiplantae; Streptophyta; Magnoliopsida; Poales; Poaceae
Description: partial small subunit ribosomal RNA
Source: RNAcentral